Long non-coding RNA from Sesamum indicum (sesame), 561 nucleotides. RefSeq lists it as uncharacterized. Lineage: Eukaryota; Viridiplantae; Streptophyta; Magnoliopsida; Lamiales; Pedaliaceae. The record is from RefSeq and is a predicted model, not a curated record.
AUCGCAAAAAAAUUGUUUAGAUUAAGAAGCUCUUAGCUGAGGAUAUUUGGCAUCAGUCUGCACAUUGCACCAGCCAUUUCCCACUCACAGUCACAGUCAUGGUUGACCCCUGAAAAGACAGUUCCAGAAUUCAUCCAUGGCUGUUUCAUUGAAUUCAGUAAUCAGCUUCAGCCUCAGCCCCACAUUGGGCGUGCUAGAAUUGAGACAACCGACUCUUUGAAAAGUUGGGCAUCAACACUCUACAUUAAGACAGCCGACGUUUUUGGAAAAGUCAGACAUCAACACUGUGCAUUAAUGUGUCGAUCCGUGGUAUUGCACAUCAAAAUUCAUCAGUUGUGUCACCUAACCCCUCAAAAGAUCCAAUUGCUGAAAUGAGACAAGUAGAGGAGGAAUAGGAGACUUCAAGGGCCACUCAUUAAUGCUAUUGUGAUUGUAGUGGUAGGGUGGGGCGUCGUAAUUUUCUCAACAAUCGUUUUUUAUACAAUCAGUUCAUUCAAACCUGUUUGAUUAUACGAAAGUAGAUAGUUAUAAAUUAAUAAUUUUAUUGUAAAUUAAUAAUGA